ACUGAAGUUAAAGUUGGUGUUUAAAUUGUUUUGCUUUGCAAUACGUGUUGGCAAAAGAAUUGAAGCUAGUUGAGAGAGUUUAUCCUAAUUGUGAGAAAAGGAGGCAAACAGUUAAAGAGAGACAGAGAUCUGAAGCGGGAAGAAGAGAAUCAUUGUCCCCUAAAGUUCUAUGCCCACGCGCGGCACCCUCGUGAACUCACACUCUCACCUGGCAGCCUUGUGAUUGGAGCACGUGAAGCGCGUGGUGCUUUAUUCACUCACUCAUUCAGUGAAAGUGAAGUGGUCCCAAGCUUGCGGUUAUUGCUACUUGUAGUUCAUCUACAUCAUGCAUCACUGUUCACCACUCAUCCUCACCGUCCGUUUUAUUUACCAGAUCAACAACCCUGAUCAUCACGCUCUCUUCUAAACUAUACAAAUUAAAUUUAAGCUUAGCUUUUCAUCGCGGGAUUUGCGGUUUAUUUGGUGCGACGAAAGCUAAUUAAUCUCCGAUCCAAACAAUGGCAAGGGAUAAAAGGGGAACCCAGUGUGUGAAUAUGCUUUUCUUCUUCCCAUUAUUUUAAUUAAGAUGUAAUUUUUCUUGUAAAGUGGGUGAAAGUUUAGUUUUGUCAGCUAAUAAUAAACCAGAAACUAUAGGGUAUCCUAUGGUGGAUUAAUUAUAUGAUAUCCACAUAUUAUUAGUAUAUGACCAAAAUAUCUUGUUUGAUUGGUGUUAGAAAUAAAUAUUUUACUGUGGACAUGAACUGGCUUCCAAGUUCCAAUUAUAGUUGUGGUCCAUGACUCUUCAUACCUCUGCUAAAAUGUUACUAAGCUAAAACAAAUAAAACAAAUGCAGGUAUAUAGCUCCAAUUGUGAGAUGACUAUACCUCAAAUUGAAGAUCCAAUUUAAUUUGUACAGAAUCCGUUUAUAGUAUAGAUUUUUACAAGCAACAAAAUAAAUAUCCCUGUUCACUACUUGUUUAGCUCAAAUGAACUUGUUUCCAACUCUUAGGAGAAAAUUGCGAAAAAGAUAAACCUUAUAUAGAAUUGUUAUACCAGCGGCGUGCACUUUUAAAUGUACAUAUCAUUACACUUGAAAUUCAAAUCCAGCUAGUGGAAACUGCUUUGGCAGUAUAAAACAAUUGGGAAUCCAAAGCAUCAAUAAUGUUCCCUAUAUAUAUAAAUAUAGCAAAUAAGGUUAAAUGGUUAAAAAAAAAAUAACAAGAAUGAUUGGGCAAUGAAAAGGGAGAGUGAUAUGAAAUUGACUGUUCAAGUCAAACACCAAAGUCAUUAUCCUUGCCGCCUUGGCUUAUACACAACGUUACCGUCCUUUAGUUAUGAACCCUACCUCAUUUUGAUUUUCUUCCUUUUCUUUUUGUCUUUUAUUGCCCAUCACAAUUCAAUACUUCCCUACCUAUUUUCAAAUUCCUUUUGACUUAUCUUCCGAUUAACAUUAUUAUUAUUUUGUUAAUUAUAUACGUAUGGAGAAAAGUGUAAAAUAUAUAUGGCCAAUAUAACAUCAAACACAUGAGAUAUUUCAACUCACAAGAAUAAUCCAUUUAUAUACACUAUAGUGUUGUCAAUGUCAAAGAAGGCUAUCAUGCUAAAUAUACACAUAAUCAAUGAAUAUGAUAGGUAUUAUAAAGUAAUAAUUGACUAUCGUUGCUCAAUAAUGUUUCAUUUUAAAAAAUUAUUGGGAUCGCGUACAUACAUAUAUACUUUCUUUCUGAUAAAUCAUGUCUCAUCUUAAAUCGUUAGCUGUGAAACAAUGUUUAAUUUUAUUAAGAAGAAAAAAGAAAGAAUAGAGUAUAAUAUAGAGAGAACUAGAAUGGUGGAAAUGAAUGCCUUCUUGGAUGAAAUUCAUAUUGUAUAUAAAAUUAUAAAUAAUUUUGGUCUCUCUCUCACUCCUUACCUGGCAAUGAUCCCAAUAAUUUGGCUAGCUAGUUGGAUAUUAUAAUCAAUCAUCCACUCUUAUACUAAAAUAAUUGUAGAGAAAUAAAUAGAGAUAAAUUAAAAGAUGAAAGAAAUAAAAUAACUGAAGAUAGAGUAUUAGCUAUUGAAAAUUUUCCAUUUAAAUACUUUUUUUGAGUUUUAAUUAAUCCUAUUUUUCAUACAUAAGUGAAAAUAAAUACAAGGCAAUAGCAAAGAGAAAUUUGUUCCUCCUAUACAUAAACACUCGUCCCUUUGGACCAAAAUCAAAGUGUAAAUGGCAAUAGGAAA
Arachis ipaensis is the source of this 2196-nucleotide non-coding RNA. The record is from RefSeq and is a predicted model, not a curated record. Lineage: Eukaryota; Viridiplantae; Streptophyta; Magnoliopsida; Fabales; Fabaceae.